GGGGAAAAUAUCAUUCCUGUCUUUUCCCUGAAGCUCUCCUUUUGACAGAAUGACUGGCUGAGGAGCCACAGGGAUGUGGAGAAACAAAGCGUCCCUCGGUCCUAUGGAUUCUGCUGCUUCUAUUCCAAGGAGAGUACAAACUGCGACCUUGGUUGAACACUGGUCUACAGUAGAUACAGUGCAGCCUCUGAAUGAAAUUCGGAGACUUCUAAGCCUUAGUUACUAAGUCUGCUUGCCUCAAGGACUGGAAGCUCCAGGAAGAAGAACAAACGCUCACAGGACUCACUGUUCCAUGUCCUCUGACUAACAGCUGGCAUGUUUGAUUAAAUGAAUAUCAAAAUUAGAUGAAACUGACAUAAAAAUGUCCCUCCCAUGUAAGAGUAAUGCAUAAGACAAUGAUAAGCUGAACACAAACAGGUCACACUUCUGAAAAAUCCUGGACUGGUUCACACACUGUAAGAUGAGACACAGAAAACCAAAAUGGAAGACACAGAGAAACCAGAGCAUUAAGUCUUUGAUAUUUUUGCUAAGCUUUCCUGUUGCCGUCCAUGGCUAGGAACUUGUCUGCAGUCUCACAGCUUCAAUUCAAUGUUCUAAAAACUGGUUAAUUUUUGUUCUCUCCUGGUUUCAGGUAUCUUUGCCUGCUAGUCAGACAAUUUCUUGAUGAA
This 668-nucleotide long non-coding RNA is filed under the name Mus caroli (Ryukyu mouse). Its description in RNAcentral is "lncRNA (MGP_CAROLIEiJ_G0003190.1)". The record is from RNAcentral. Lineage: Eukaryota; Metazoa; Chordata; Mammalia; Rodentia; Muridae.